GUACACUCCUACGGGAGGCAGCAGUGGGGAAUUUUGGACAAUGGGCGAAAGCCUGAUCCAGCAAUGCCGCGUGAGUGAAGAAGGCCUUCGGGUUGUAAAGCUCUUUUGUCAGGGAAGAAACGGUGAAAGCUAAUAUCUUUUGCUAAUGACGGUACCUGAAGAAUAAGCACCGGCUAACUACGUGCCAGCAGCCGCGGUAAUACGUAGGGUGCAAGCGUUAAUCGGAAUUACUGGGCGUAAAGCGUGCGCAGGCGGUUUUGUAAGUCUGAUGUGAAAUCCCCGGGCUCAACCUGGGAAUUGCAUUGGAGACUGCAAGGCUAGAAUCUGGCAGAGGGGGGUAGAAUUCCACGUGUAGCAGUGAAAUGCGUAGAUAUGUGGAGGAACACCGAUGGCGAAGGCAGCCCCCUGGGUCAAGAUUGACGCUCAUGCACGAAAGCGUGGGGAGCAAACAGGAUUAGAAACCCGGGUAGUCCCAUGA
This 478-nucleotide ribosomal RNA is filed under the name uncultured organism. RNAcentral describes it as "partial 16S ribosomal RNA". It matches the Rfam family "Bacterial small subunit ribosomal RNA", at positions 331 to 800 of the family's 1533-position model. The record is from RNAcentral.